This 439-nucleotide ribosomal RNA is filed under the name uncultured bacterium. RNAcentral describes it as "partial 16S ribosomal RNA". It matches the Rfam family "Bacterial small subunit ribosomal RNA", at positions 338 to 795 of the family's 1533-position model. The record is from RNAcentral.
CCUACGGGAGGCAGCAGUGGGGGAUAUUGCACAAUGGGCGAAAGCCUGAUGCAGCGACGCCGCGUGAGGGAAGACGGUCUUCGGAUUGUAAACCUCUGUCUUUGGGGAAGAAAAUGACGGUACCCAAAGAGGAAGCUCCGGCUAACUACGUGCCAGCAGCCGCGGUAAUACGUAGGGAGCAAGCGUUGUCCGGAAUUACUGGGUGUAAAGGGAGCGUAGGCGGGAUGGCAAGUAGAAUGUUAAAUCCAUCGGCUCAACCGGUGGCUGCGUUCUAAACUGCCGUUCUUGAGUGAAGUAGAGGCAGGCGGAAUUCCUAGUGUAGCGGUGAAAUGCGUAGAUAUUAGGAGGAACACCAGUGGCGAAGGCGGCCUGCUGGGCUUUAACUGACGCUGAGGCUCGAAAGCGUGGGGAGCAAACAGGAUUAGAUACCCUUGUAGUC